This 492-nucleotide ribosomal RNA is filed under the name uncultured bacterium. RNAcentral describes it as "bacterial SSU rRNA". It matches the Rfam family "Bacterial small subunit ribosomal RNA", at positions 28 to 502 of the family's 1533-position model. The record is from RNAcentral.
GACGAACGCUGGCGGCGUGCUUAACACAUGCAAGUCGAACGGGGAAUCAGCAAUGAUUUCUAGUGGCGAACGGGUGAGUAACGCGUAGAUAACCUGCCUUCUAGAUGGGGACAACACUCCGAAAGGAGUGCUAAUACCGAAUGUGGCAUAGCAGUUACCUAACCGCUAUGUUAAAGGUGGCCUCUUUAUAUGCUACCGCUAGAAGAUGGGUCUGCGUCUGAUUAGCUAGUUGGUGAGGUAACAGCUCACCAAGGCGACGAUCAGUAGCCGGUCUGAGAGGAUGAACGGCCACACUGGAACUGAGACACGGUCCAGACUCCUACGGGAGGCAGCAGUGGGGAAUCUUCCGCAAUGGACGAAAGUCUGACGGAGCAACGCCGCGUGGGUGAUGAAGGUUUUCGGAUCGUAAAACCCUGUCAAUGAGGACGAAUGGUUGUCUUGCAAAUAGUGGGAUAACAUGACGGUACUCAAGGAGGAAAGCCACGGCUAACU